Long non-coding RNA from Cyprinus carpio (common carp), 992 nucleotides. Lineage: Eukaryota; Metazoa; Chordata; Actinopteri; Cypriniformes; Cyprinidae. The record is from Ensembl.
UUUUUUCAAUUUAUCUUUUACAGAUUUGUGCUUAGUAAUUCAUUAUAGUAUGUAGUGAGAAUCUGUCCUAGUAUGCCUGUAUAUUUGUAGAUACUAAUGCUGUAAUUUAAUCAGCAUCACUAAGGUAAGUAUGAGAAACACAGUGUUAUUUUUGUCAUAGAGUCAUAUAAUAGAUUUUUAAUUUAUAUAUAUUUAAUUUAGGCAACUGGUGAUAGUCAUGGGUUCUCUAAUGUCUCUCAGACUGUGUUCUAUGACCGGAAGAGCUUUGGCUGUGUGUUAAGAAUCCACUACAAAAAUGAAUUUCAGCCAGACAUCGAACUGUAUGAAGGAGAGACAUUCAUACACAGUGUUGAUGCCAACUUCAUAGUGUGGGAGAAUUUUAAUCCGACCAUGCGUCAGGUAGCUUGCCUUCGCAAGGCCCAAACAUGGAAAUCUAUGCUAGUUGAUGAGAAGCAUCCUGAUAAGGCCUGGGGACCUCUUAAUUACAAGAGCUGUUUUGUUGAUGACUCUGAAAAACUAGGAAACCUUGACCCACCCUAUGAAAUCAAGAAUAGGAGUUCCAAGAAUUAUCUUACCUUUUCUCAAGAAAACAAUGCUAUUUAUGUUUUCAAUGUAAACAAUGUGGACCCAAAUUACAGUCCAAACUACAGAAUCCCAGUGGUUGAUCAGCUCUUUCACGUCUAUAAGUUUUUUAAUCCAAUCCUACAUUACACUCAUUACUGUGCUUCAUCUUCUACAGAUAUACCUCCAUCUAUCGAGACAUGCUUAAAGAAAUGUGUGUGAAUGAUUAGUUAGUAUUAUAGUUACUAGUGUGUGUGUGUAUAUAGUGUACAUACUGUCACUUUACUAAUGAGCCAUAUUCAUUAUUCAUUGAAUUUUAAAUUUAAAUAAUACUGAACCAUUCAGUUCAGUGGGAUUUUAUGUAUAAAUGGAUAUGUGAAUGAUUUACACAUCUUAUGUUUUAUAAAUAAAGCCCAUUGUCAAUUAUUUCA